Molecule: ribosomal RNA, 450 nt
Filed under: uncultured bacterium
Lineage: Bacteria
Description: partial 16S ribosomal RNA
Rfam family: Bacterial small subunit ribosomal RNA
Source: RNAcentral
AACGAACGCUGGCGGCAGGCCUAACACAUGCAAGUCGAACGCUCGUAGCAAUACGGGAGUGGCAGACGGGUGAGUAACGCGUGGGAACGUACCCUUUGGCUCGGAACAACUCCGGGAAACUGGAGCUAAUACCGGAUGAGCCCUACGGGGGAAAGAUUUAUCGCCGAAGGAACGGCCCGCGUCGGAUUAGCUAGUUGGUGAGGUAACGGCUCACCAAGGCGACGAGCCGUAGCUGGUCUGAGAGGAUGAUCAGCCACACUGGGACUGAGACACGGCCCAGACUCCUACGGGAGGCAGCAGUGGGGAAUAUUGGACAAUGGGCGCAAGCCUGAUCCAGCAUGCCGCGUGAGUGAUGAAGGCCUUAGGGUUGUAAAGCUCUUUCGCCAGGGACGAUAAUGACGGUACCUGGAUAAGAAGCCCCGGCUAACUUCGUGCCAGCCGCCGCGGUAA